AGUAAUAGUUGUUGUAUCAUUUGGAGAAGCCUUAAGUGAGUUCAUUCAUUCAUUCAUAGGAAACUAGCAUUAGGAAACCCAAGGCUUUGCUUGUUUCAUUCAUAGUUAGUGAUUUUCUAAUUUGUUUUUAUGACAAAUUUCAGAGACUCUACUGAACGCGAGGUUGCUCUCAUGAUACUCAGAAUGUGAAGGACGUUCUUCACAGAUAAAGUUGACAAAAGGUUUCGUAACAAAGGAUUUACUGAAAGGGCAUCCGGCAAGUUCUUUCGUUCAUAAACUCGAAUGCAUUGUUUAUAAAUAACCAAGCUGAAUGAUUUUAUGAAAGAGAUCCAUGCUGCUGGCCAGAAUGGGGAAAUUUCAGGUGAAUUUUGCAGGUUUAAUGUAGGGAUUCAAGACUGGUACAUCGAUGCAAUGUCAAAUACUAUAUUUGAUUG
This 434-nucleotide long non-coding RNA is filed under the name Trifolium pratense (red clover). RNAcentral's name for it is "long non-coding RNA (TPRA_LNC010686)". The record is from RNAcentral. Lineage: Eukaryota; Viridiplantae; Streptophyta; Magnoliopsida; Fabales; Fabaceae.